GUCACCGGACGCGCCCGCUUCUCGCUGGAGUGCGCACCGAGCGGCAGUGACUUCGCCGCUGCUGUAGUUCCCCGGCUGGAUGCGGUGACUGGUGCCAGUGCUCAGGCGCCCGCUGCCCUUGACCUCCCGCCCCGCGAGCCCUAACUCAGCGCAGGAGGACCGGCUGCCGCCGCCGCCGCCGCCAGGAGGUAGAUUGGGAAGUGGAGCUGGCCGUGGUCAUUGGAAAGAAAGGCAAGCACAUCAAGGUGAAGUGGAAAAGGUGGGCUCCCAGGCCAGAGUGCAGCAGAGUCCCCAGCUCCUGCCUCUCCUAGUUCUGACCUCGCUCACCAACACAUGGUGCCAGCUGUCCCUGACACUAGGAAGCAGUCAGCCUCCUUGCUCCCUGACACUGCCUUUCCCUUCACCCACCUUUGGCUGGCUCUGGCUACUAACAUGGGAUAACAGCUUUGAGAUCCCUUGCCACAGGUGUUGGUGUCACCCAUGAUCUAUCCUCCUGUAUGGCCAAAUCCCCUGCCCCCAUAGGCCACAGAUGCCAUGGCCCACGUGGCCGGCUUCACUGUGGCUCAUGACGUGAGUGCUCGUGACUGGCUAACAAGAUGCAAUGGGAAACAGUGGCUGCUGGGAAAAACCUUCGACACCUUCUGCCCUCUGGGCCCUGCCUUGGUGACCAAGGACAGUGUAGCAGAUCCACACAACUUAAAGAUCUGCUGUCGAGUGAAUGGGGAAGUGGUCCAGAGCAGCAACACCAACCAGAUGGUAUUCAAGACAGAGGACCUGAUAGCCUGGGUGUCCCAGUGAGUGACAGGGGCUAUCCUGCCAGCCCCGCUCCACCUGCCACACAUGUGGAGGCUGACCUGAGCCCUCCACCUUUGGCUGUGGCCACCUCAGCCAGCCCCUGGUCUCACCGGGUCCUUUUGCUUUGCUCCAGGUUUGUUACCUUUUACCCAGGGGAUGUCAUCCUGACUGGGACCCCCCCACCUCCACCCAGGUGUCGGUGUAUUCAGGAAACCUCCUGUCUUUCUCAAGGUCUCUGAAGGUCCAGACAGCACUGAUGGCGAGCUUUGGGUCCGCACACUCUGGAAAGAAGAGAGAAGUGAAGGCUCUAGGUAGGGAGAACAGAGAGCCACUGGGCACAGGCUUCUCUCCUCUUGUUUAAAGAAGCCCAGGGAGGGAUAGAGCUCUGACUGGACAGAAGACUGUACUCUGCAGCCUGCCUUCCUAGAGUUGGGUUGUCACUGUCCUGCAGGGGGCAGCAGCCACCAGCAAACACCACUGCCUGCAGGAGCCUGGGCUGACUGGUUGGGACUCACCGAAGAUCCCUUCUUCCUGGGCGGUGGCCUGCAGGAACUGGAACAGCUGCUCUGUGUAGCCCAACUCUGCAGAAGAGAGAAGACCUAGACCUGGCACCCAGCACAGACACAGCCUGCCUCGAGGACUGCAAGGGAACAAGGGCCUCACCAGUAUCGGGCAGCUGGCCCUGGCGGAGGAAGGCGGCAGCCUGUGCAAAGGCCUUGAGCAGCGGGCUGAGCAGGCGGCAGAGGAAAAGAAAGAAAUCUGGGCAGUGUGACUGCUGGCUGAGCUGGAGGGGACAGGCCGGGGUGAGUGCAGCUCCCCACCGCCUCCCUACCACCUCCCUCCAGGGGCAGCUUUUUGAAACACACCCUGAAGUACCGGCCGUCAGCCUCUCCGAAGUCAUCACUGUCACUAUCAGUAAAGUCCCCACUCGGUUUCCAC
Long non-coding RNA from Homo sapiens (human), 1734 nucleotides. The record is from Ensembl. Lineage: Eukaryota; Metazoa; Chordata; Mammalia; Primates; Hominidae.